This 83-nucleotide ribosomal RNA is filed under the name Trichoderma brevicompactum. RNAcentral's name for it is "partial 28S ribosomal RNA". Lineage: Eukaryota; Fungi; Ascomycota; Sordariomycetes; Hypocreales; Hypocreaceae. The record is from RNAcentral.
CCCAAACUUCUGAAAUGUUGACCUCGGAUCAGGUAGGAAUACCCGCUGAACUUAAGCAUAUCAAAAGGCCGAAAGGGAAACGA